This 339-nucleotide long non-coding RNA is filed under the name Hordeum vulgare. Its description in RNAcentral is "long non-coding RNA (HVUL_LNC006704)". The record is from RNAcentral. Lineage: Eukaryota; Viridiplantae; Streptophyta; Magnoliopsida; Poales; Poaceae.
UCCCCCCAUAACAUACGGAAAUCAGAAUCAGCUCAACUUAGAUGACAAUGUAUAUACUUUAUCAAAUUAUAUGGGUGUUGCAACAACGUAUAUACUUUAUCACAUUAUAAGUCCUCACACCUUCAACUAUGACAAAAUCUGAGAGUAUAAGUCUGGUUACAUUCACCCAAGUCCAAACAUAAAAUUCUGUCCAACAUAGUACAACCCACUUUGAUAAUUUCAUAGGAUUUAAUAUACCGAACGAAACCUGACAAGUGAUAUGUGUUUUAAGUAUCUACAGAACAGCCUCUAAAAUUUUCAUGUUGUAACUUUAUUUUAAUACCACCUCUAACAGGGCCU